This is a long non-coding RNA of Brassica napus (rape), 3581 nucleotides long. RefSeq lists it as uncharacterized. The record is from RefSeq and is a predicted model, not a curated record. The transcript has 2 exons. Lineage: Eukaryota; Viridiplantae; Streptophyta; Magnoliopsida; Brassicales; Brassicaceae.
GAGAUAAAUUUAAAUUUCAUAUAAUAAAAUAUGUUACAAUGGUUGAAAUUGAGAGAUUGAAAAGAAGAAAAUAUAACAUAAAGUAUUUAGUGUGAAUUUAUUCAACUAGUUAAAACAAAAAAAAGUUCGACAUUAAAAAAGUAUUAUUUGAUUAUUUAUAUUUAAAAUAGUCGACAUUUGAUUCUGCUUCAUUCCUUAUGCUAGUGAAUCUUUAUUUUGGAGGAUUAGAUUCAUGAUUUAAGGUUAGCUUAACAAUUUAUAGGUUAUAGGACUAAAACAAUAAUUUGAAACUUUAAAAUAUAUAUGUUAAAAAAUAUUGAAAUGUAUAUUUUGUUAACAUUUUUUUUAUUAAAUUUAUGUUUUUUGAAAAUUAUGAAUAGUAUUUUUAUAAUUUUAAAGAAAAUAAAAUACAUAUAAAAUAUUUUAUAAACUCUCUUAGCACAUUCAAUAUUAGCCCGUUAGCCAAAAAUCAAAUGACCUAAUACUAUAAAAAAGGCAAAAGGAAUAAUCAAUUCAAACUGUCACCAAAAAUGGAUCCAAACUUUAUCAGUAUCGAAAUAUUACUUUCGCUUACAUGUGUUAACCAUGUCGGAGGAGGAGCUAGAAUACAGGAACACAUCAUUCUGAUUAACCUAAAAGAACUGGCAUUUGUCAAUGCUCCAUAGAGUAAGUAUAUAUUUCUGAAAUCCAUUAUCCAUUAGUGUUAUCAUAAGUAUUAUCCUAUUGUUUAUAUUUUUAUUUUUUGUCAGAUGCUUAAGUAGGUGAGCAAGGAGGUGUUGUUCCACCCAGUGUUUAACCCCCCGGUGUUCAAGCACCUCAAUACCCUCCAGCGUAUGGUUUCAAGCCCCUCAAGCCCCUGAUUUUCAAGCUCCGCAAGCCCUUGGUUUUUCAAGCCCCUCAAGCCCCUGGUUUUCAAUCCUCCCCAAGCCCCUGGUUUUCAACCCCUCAAGCCCCCGAUUUUCAAGUCCCUCAAGCUCUCUGUUUUAAAGCCCCUCAAGCCCCCGGUGUUCGAACCCCUCAAACCCUCACUGUUCCACCCGCCUUUGUUCCCUUUUUUAUUAUUAUUGGUUAUGUUCCUCCGUUUCCUGGUAAUUUUAUGAUCUCAACAAUUCCUCAUCCAUCCAUCUUUGUCUAUUUUUAUUUUCUUUCUUAUAUCCAGAUUUGAUAGUUUCUAAUUUCAUUCUUCCUCCAGUCGUUCAUCCUAAUCGUAUUCCUAGUAAGGAUUUCUUUCAUAAAUGAUAAAAUAAUCUUUUGAACUUUUCUUGUUCUUAGUUUUUCUAACCAUUUGUGCAGAUCACGUUCUUAUACAACGGACCAUCGAAGACAGCUUUCACAUGUUUUCUCUUGCAGAUGCAUAUCGUAAGUUUUGUUCUCAUUUGUUCUAACCAUAACUAUUAUCUUGUUCUUAUUUGUUCGAGCAUAGGAAUCCUAAAUCCUCUUCCGAUAAUUUUAAUUUUUCAGAAUAUGUUCAUUUGCAUGCUCUGAACUAGCGGUUGUACAACACCAUGGCACUCUACAUACUGAAACGUCCAUUGUUUGUCACUCUUCAAGUAAUUAAUGAAGAAGCACCAACCAGAGGUAUAUGUAUAUUAUUAUUAUAAUUUAAAAUAAAAUAAAAUACAUAUAAAAUCUCUUAUAAACUUUCUUAGCCCAUUCAUCUUAGGCCCAUUAGUCCAGGGCCAAAUGACUUAAUACUAUAAAAAGUCAAAAGGAGUAAUCAAUUCAAGCCGUCACCAAAAAUGAAUCCAAAUUUUAUCAGUAUCGAUAUACGUGUUCCUCUCACCUGUGUUCAAUAUACCGGAGUAGGAGCUAGAAUAAAAAGACACGACAUUCUGAUUUACUUAAGAGAACUGACCUUUGUCAAUGCUCCAUAGAGUAAAUUUUUAUUUCUCAAAUCCAUUAUCCAUUAGUGUUAUCAUCGGUAUUUUCCUAGUGUUUAUAUUUUUCUGUUUUGAAACUCAGAUGCUCAAGUAGGUGAGCAAGGAGGUGUUGUUCCACCCAGUAUUCAACCCCACGGUGUUCAAGCACCUCAAGCCCCUCCCCACGGUUUUCAAACUCCUCAAGCCCCUUAAGCCCCAGGUUUAUAGUUCCCCAAGUCCCUCAAGCCCCCGGCUGCCCCUCAAGCCUCUCAAGCCCCACAAUUCCCUCAAGCCCUCAAGGUCCAGGUGUUCAUGCCCCUCAAGGCCCCGGUGUUCAAAUAAUCUUUUGAACUUUUCUUUCAUAAAUGAUAAAAUAAUCUUUUGAACUUUUCUUGUUCUUAGUUUUUCUAACCAUUUGUGCAGAUCACGUUCUUAUACAACGGACCAUCGAAGACAGCUUUCACAUGUUUUCUCUUGCAGAUGCAUAUCAAUAUGUUCAUUUGCAUGCUCUGAACUAGCGGUUGUACAACACCAUGGCACUCUACAUACUGAAACGUCCAUUGUUUGUCACUCUUCAAGUAAUUAAUGAAGAAGCACCAACCAGAGGUAUAUGUAUAUUAUUAUUAUAAUUUAAAAUAAAAUAAAAUACAUAUAAAAUCUCUUAUAAACUUUCUUAGCCCAUUCAUCUUAGGCCCAUUAGUCCAGGGCCAAAUGACUUAAUACUAUAAAAAGUCAAAAGGAGUAAUCAAUUCAAGCCGUCACCAAAAAUGAAUCCAAAUUUUAUCAGUAUCGAUAUACGUGUUCCUCUCACCUGUGUUCAAUAUACCGGAGUAGGAGCUAGAAUAAAAAGACACGACAUUCUGAUUUACUUAAGAGAACUGACCUUUGUCAAUGCUCCAUAGAGUAAAUUUUUAUUUCUCAAAUCCAUUAUCCAUUAGUGUUAUCAUCGGUAUUUUCCUAGUGUUUAUAUUUUUCUGUUUUGAAACUCAGAUGCUCAAGUAGGUGAGCAAGGAGGUGUUGUUCCACCCAGUAUUCAACCCCACGGUGUUCAAGCACCUCAAGCCCCUCCCCACGGUUUUCAAACUCCUCAAGCCCCUUAAGCCCCAGGUUUAUAGUUCCCCAAGUCCCUCAAGCCCCCGGCUGCCCCUCAAGCCUCUCAAGCCCCACAAUUCCCUCAAGCCCUCAAGGUCCAGGUGUUCAUGCCCCUCAAGGCCCCGGUGUUCAACCCCCCCCCCCCCCCCCCCGGUGUUCCACAUGUUGUUCCAUCUGCCUUUGUUCCCUUGUUCCAAUUGUUGGUUAUGUUCCUCCGUUUUGGUAAUUUUCUAUUCUCAAUAAUUCCUCAUCCAUCCAUCUUUGUUUAAUUUUUUGUCUUUUCUAAUCCCCAAAUCUGCUGGUUCCUAAUUUCAUUCUUCCUCCAAUCGUUCAUCCAAAUCGUAUUCCUAAUAAAGAUUUAUUUCAUAAAUGAUAAAAUAAUUUUUUUUCUUGUUUUUAUUUAUUCUAAUCAUUUCCGCAUAUCACGUUCUUAUACAACGGACCGUCGAAGACAGCUUUCACCAGUUUUCUCUUGCAGAUGCAGAUCAUAAAUCUUGUUCUUAUUUGUUCUAUCCAUAUGUAUUUUCUUGUUCUUAGUUGUUUGAGGAAAGGAAUCUAAAUCCUCUUCCAUUAAUUAUAAUUUUUCAGAAUAUGUUAAUUUGUAUGUUCUGAACCAGUGGUUGUCCAACA